Molecule: long non-coding RNA, 1587 nt
Organism: Piliocolobus tephrosceles (Ugandan red Colobus)
Lineage: Eukaryota; Metazoa; Chordata; Mammalia; Primates; Cercopithecidae
Source: Ensembl
AUUGUAUAUUUCAUUGUUAUGCCUUAUAUUUUAUUUUUGCUGUUCGGAACUGGCAUAUACCAGUAGUAGUGGUGUUUUUGUAACAAAUAAAACAGGUGAUAAGAAUCCAAAUGGGGAACAAGGACCAGCUACGUUAACAACAAACCGAAAUCAACAAGAAGUAAAUAUUGACGAAACUAAUAUAUCAGACAAAAAUUCAAGUAAAAUGAUGAGAAAAAAAAGAGAAACAGAAAAUGCACUCGAUAAAGAAUAUAAUAACUUGAAACAACAUAUGUUGGAAAUUUCUAUUAAAAAAAACCUUGAGUAUAAUGAUAGUAUGGAUAAUCUAGCUCGUUUAUUCAUGUCUAAUUUUACAGGAAAAGUUAAAUACGGAGGGAGAGGAUACUCUGUACUUUUUUUUAAUUAUACUAAAAAUAAUAACUCAAACUCUCCAGCUAAUGCUGACGCAAAAAUUUUAACAUGUCAAUAUGAGAAUUAUAGGGAACAAUGUGUUGUAAAAUAUGAAAACACAUUUUCAACAAUUAAUAUAGAUACAAAACAACAAAAUGAUAUGAUUAAAAGCAUAUUUAAGCUAUCAGAAUUAUACACUACACAUAUUAAUACCAAAAACGAUAGUUUCAAAUCAGGUUACUUGGUAUACUUUAUAAACUAUGUUUACGAUACUGACAAUGACGAAGUUGUCCUAAAUAUAAUAAACAUUAUAUGUGCAAGUAAAACUGAAAAUAACAAAUGUAAAAUGUUAUAUCCUUUUCCACUCCAAAAAGGAUGGUAUCCAGAUUUGUGUAAAAAUCUUAAGAAUAUAAAUAUCCCCAUACCAAAUGAUUGUUCUUCAUCUGCAAGUACAUUUAUAACUUAUGACCAAUGGUUAGACAAAAAACCCAGCGUGCUAAAUACACAGUACGUGUCAAAAUAUUUUGAUUAUAUCUAUAAAUAUAUAACACAAUUUCCAAUACCAGAUAUUAUAACAAAACUUUGUAAUGUAAUAAACAUAAAUAUGCAAGUAUGUUUAAAUAUGUAUAUCGAUGUUACAGCUAAUUUAUUAAAAACUGAUGAUGACGAAUAUGAAAAUCUUAUAAACGAAUGUAUCAAAUCUUAUGAAGAAAAAAAAAAGGAAAAAUAUCCAAUUGGUCGUACAGAACCGAAUAAAAAACAGAAAGGAUCUUAUAAUAAGAAAAAUAUGCAAAACGAUAAAAUUGAUCGUACAAAACUGAAUAAAAAACAGGAAAAUAACAACAAUAAUUAUGUCACCACUCGUGAUGUUAUACUACAAGAACUUAAAAAAAGUGUGAUUGAACGAAAUUUACCAACAUGUAUUAAUUCUUUGAUCAAACUAAAAUCCACUUCUAGAAAUAUUCCUAUCGAAUUAGACUCUAGUUCAACAUUUUCUAAUUUAAUUUAUGGUGUAUUUUUACUGAUACUUACAAUUUAUAUGUUUUAAUAAUUAUAGUUAAGUUAUAAUUUUUAAAAUACUAUAAUCGUUUGUUUCAUUUAUGCAUACAUAUUCAAUUAUGUAUAUACAUUUUUAUUCUGUCUGAAAAAAAUUAAUAAUACAUAGUUUAUUAAAGCCACAGCAAAAUUUAAUACCAC